Salvia miltiorrhiza (redroot sage) is the source of this 2754-nucleotide long non-coding RNA. RefSeq lists it as uncharacterized. NCBI's taxonomy places the organism in Eukaryota, Viridiplantae, Streptophyta, Magnoliopsida, Lamiales, Lamiaceae. The transcript is spliced from 2 exons. The record is from RefSeq and is a predicted model, not a curated record.
GCUCAUUCGGCUUAUUCGCAGCAUUAACACUUGUUAAGGAAGCACCGCUUUCUAAAGUUCUGCACACACAUUGAUUUUCAGCUCAAAACCAAAGCUAGAAUCGAAAUUUCUGAUGUAUUAAGCAGCUGCAAACAUUCAAUCCGAAUCACACCAGCACUAUGAUUUUGAAGCUUUAAUUUUGAUCGUUCAGAUAUGGAACGAGCUCCGAAAAUGGCGCCUGAUCAAAUUUCUCAUUGCGCAAGAUUCUCUCUUUCCAUUAUCAUACACGCCGCAGCUCGAAGCCCCUCGAGAUUCAGCCUGUGGCUCGUGCAUUAAGCAGCUGAACAUGUAACAUCUAUGCAUGAAAGAAGAGCGUAGGGAGCGGUGGAUGUUGCACCGAAAGAUGAUUGAGUAGAAUCCUAGUACUGUUAUUCCUUCAUUUAACUUGUUUUGGGAGUAAAUGGGCAGUCUCGCGUAUAAUUUGGACGUUGUAGAACUUGUUGUGGCUGAUUCGUGCUUUUGCUGCCCUGGAACAUAUUGGUUACAUGGAACAAAAAUGCUCGGUUUUUUCUGGACAAGCACUAGAGCUGAUAUAUUUUUUUUUUUCUCAUUGAUGAAGUGCUUAAGGAGUAAAGAAUUUAGCAUUUUGAUUGUGCAGAAGUUUGUUUAGAAAACAAAUUAUCUUUUGCAGGGCAAUAAACUAAUCUUAUGAGACUUUGAACUAGGAAGGAAUGUCUGCUUAAAAUUAGUAGGUGAUCUUUGAAAUUCUUUUAUUGGAGGUGAAUUCAGAAUUUCGAUUGUAAAAAUCAAGGAACAAAGAAUUUGAAUCACAUUCAUUAAAUUGAAUUCUGGACCUGUUGGCAUUUGCAUUUUGCAAUCAUAAAUCAAUAAACUCAUUGAAGAUAGUGUGUAACUUUUGUCUGUACAAUAUGAUAAUUAAGGAGAAUUGAAGGCAAACCAUCUAUUUGCAGUUCUAACGCUGUGUGGUUUCUCGUUGUGGAAGCACACCUCCUAGAACAUUAAUUGUACUUCUGGCCACGAUAACAACUCUCAUGCAUCCUACCCCUGUAGUCGCUGUAGCGCCUGAAUAUAAUCUGGAAUAGUACCGUCAAAUUGCUGGUUUUGUGGGUUUUCUGCAUAGGCAACAUAAUAUGCUGCAACGCUAGCUUGUAUCCAUGCCAUGGCGACUCUAUUCUGCAUUUUGUAGAAGUUAAAAUUAAUUUGCAGCUAUUAUCACAAUGGUAUUUUUUUUCUAUAGGAUUUGGGUUCUUACCACUAAGUACCCAGUCAAGAAUGCGUACAGCGACACUUCUGUUGCGUAGUUUUUGUGGACGAGAAGAGCCCAAGUUCCUGCAACCAGCGCAGACAAUGAUCCAGCUGCAACGCCGCACAGGAAGCAGAAUGAGCUAGUGAGGUCAGUAUCAAUCAACUUUUGAAUUCCAAUCCUGCUAAACAUCUCCCAUGUAUCCUUCGAAGCCUGCACGAUUCCUUUGUUAUACAUCCCUACCUGCACGAAACCCCAUCUAUUUCCGUACGCUACAAGCCUUUUAGCUACUCCCGUGCAGCAACUUGCACACGAGAACAUGAACUCAUCCACGUCUCCAGAGACCAAGCUUAUGGCCCGAGCCAAACCCCGGAUGGUGCCAAGAACCGGUACAAGAAUCGAGCCAAAGCAUACGCUCCCCAUCGAGUUCUGAGCCGAGUCUCUUACCACUGUUUUAAGAUCAACCUCUGUUCCACUUGCAAAUCUCAUGAAUUUUAUGUGUGAUACAGUGACGAACGUCAUGUUCCUUGCUACGUGCAGUGUCCAUGUGAAACUUAAAAGGCUCAGGAAUAUGAACAGAGUGUUGAGCAUCUUCAUACCAGUCAUGGUUGCUCCCCCGAUGCCGGACAUCAGGAAAGCGGAAUAGAAGGUACAAAUGAAUAUUGAUAGAGGUGCCACAGUUUUGAUUCUUGGAGGAUGAGAUGCCACCGAAACUACGAGAAUCCUUCUGCCGUGCUGAAACCUGGGACGGAUCCAGCACGCGUACAGGGAUUGUAACACAGCAGAAGCUAGAGCGAAUACAGCUGCUGCUGCACUCCCCCGAGAGCCUAUGAUGACGAGUAAAAUCCCAUACGCGCAGGUGACUAGAGGGCUAAUGACGAAUGCAGCCUUGAAUGCUCCCGAGGGAUUGAUGCUCGUGAACAACUGCCAUGCGAAUCCUGAAAUUCCUGCACAAGCUGUCGAGGUGAGGACUGGAAAGUACCAUUUCUUUGGGUGAUAACGAUGACUGUCUGCGGGCGAUACAACGCCACGAACUGUGAGAUACAACUCCAGGAUUAUGAUGAAGAGAAACUGUAUGCAGAAAAUGUAUUUAAAGAUCUUGGAGAGUAAGUUUCUCUCCCUCAUCUCCAAGGGAGCACCAUUUCUUUCCUGUAUCUGCAUUGAGAAAUCACUUCUGGAUCGGAGCACGAUGAACUCGAACGCAGGGGAACGACGGAGUCAAGAAGGCGAGAAACAGAGUUUCAGAUUCUUGAAGAGAAAGAUGUUUGUAGUGUUGAUGAAUGAAUUCAAGGUAAUUGCACUGUUUGAUCCCUUCAUCUAUCAUUAUUAACUGUGGAUGAUGCUGUUCUUGGUUCAAUUACUUGACACCCACGAUUUAGCAAAGAGAUGUGAUUAAGUUUUGGCCAUUUGAGUGCAUAACCUCUGAGAUGAAAGUCUUCUCAACAGCAUUAUUUUAUUUGAAGUCUUGUUGAAGAGAAUUAAUUGUAUAUUAUUGUCUCUUAUUUGAUGCA